UCUUGCCGGCGCCCUGCUCCCUUUUAUGACUGGCACGGCACCUAAAAACAAAGGUGCAUAUCCUUCGAACGCCCGGCCGCCCUAGACAAGUACAUGACGGUACACGCCUUCAGGGAGACCAAGGGCCCGCGAAAGGUAAUAGUUGUAUUUUAACGCGCGUUAAGGGCCCCGUGUUGCGGAAAAUCCAUUUGCAUCCUCCGAUUCCUGCGGCAAGAGAAUUGCCACGAUGCGGAGUGGCUACGGUGCAUUCUUCAUCAGGCCAAUCAAGUAAUACACAUGAUGACGCACGUAAGCAUGCGCCACACAGGAGUGCGUGAACACGAACUCCGUAAAAUUGCUGUGGCAGCAAUCUACUCCAGAAUCCUCUAUGGCCUGCCAUACGUUGCACUUACACACAACCAGACCAAACUGCUCGAGUCUUCUUUGCGGAGAUGUCACCGCAUUGAAGUGGGUGUUCCCAGGUACGCCCGCAGCUUCGAUGUUGAAAGCACAACCCUGCACAACGCCUUGGAUGCAAAGGUUCAAGCCUACGGAGAGUCUCAGCAUGUCCGUCUGAGCACCUCGACCCAGAUGUCCCGUUCCACUACAGGCGGCGCUAGCGUCGGGGCCCGCCUGGCGCCAUGGCCUGGCGUCACCACGUGGCCAUAUUUGUUCUCGGAGCGGUGGAGAGUCGCGCGCCGCUGCGAGCGAGUGACAAGCCAUGGGUAGCGACGCGCGGAACAAGGCUUUCGCCGGCGUGCGCUACCAUACACCAGAGGAGGGCAGCUGGCCUGCGUGCACGACGCGCACGGCCGACCAACAUCGAGGAACUGGCGAGAAAAAGCUGCGUCGCCGGACAGACGCUGCGAACGGAUCACGUAA
This 861-nucleotide long non-coding RNA is filed under the name Dermacentor andersoni. RNAcentral's name for it is "uncharacterized LOC126539384". The record is from RNAcentral. Lineage: Eukaryota; Metazoa; Arthropoda; Arachnida; Ixodida; Ixodidae.